GGGCAGUUACCAGAGUGGCCAAAUGGGGCAGACUGUAAAUCUGCUGGUUUUUACCUUCGGUGGUUCGAAUCCAUCACUGCCCA
Molecule: transfer RNA, 83 nt
Filed under: Bacteroidales bacterium
Lineage: Bacteria; Pseudomonadati; Bacteroidota; Bacteroidia; Bacteroidales
Also listed under: 1 other name
Description: tRNA-Tyr
Rfam family: tRNA
About the family: Transfer RNA (tRNA) molecules are approximately 80 nucleotides in length. Their secondary structure includes four short double-helical elements and three loops (D, anti-codon, and T loops).
Source: RNAcentral